CUGAAUAAAACCCAUCGUUUAUAACGCAGCAGUGAGGAAUCUUGGUCAAUAGCCUAACGGCUGAACCAGCAAUUUGGAGGAAUGUAUAGCAAUAGCUAGUUGUAUAGUAUUAUACAAUAUCGACUAGGUUGAAUAAAGUUCUGAGUAAAGUUAGAUAAUGACUUAGUUUACUCACGUGUCUUGACUAAAUUGCGUGCCAGCAGUCGCGGUAAGACGUAUAAGACUAGUGUUAUUCAUCUUGAGUAGGUUUAAAGGGUACUUAGACGGCAGACCAAGCCUAAGCAGGGACUAGUUUGCUAGAGUUACUUAUGAUGGGGCUUGAAAGUACUAAUGGAGUAGAGAUAAAAUGCUACUAUACCUUUUUUCGAAAGAACUGCAAUGGCACUGGUAAAGGCGAAAGCAUCCCCUAAUGUGAUAACUGACGUUAAAGGACGAAGGCUUUGGAUCGCGAACAGGAUUAGAUACCCUGGUAGUCAAAGCAGAAAAUGAUGAGUGUCAUAGAUUGGAAUAAGUUUAAUCUAUAAAUGAAAGUGUAAGCACUCCACCUUAAGAGUAACGUGGCAACACCGAAAUUGAAAUCAUUAGACCGUUUCUGAAACCAGUAGUGAAGUAUGUUGUUUAAUUUGAUAAUCCGCAAAAAACCUUA
This 646-nucleotide ribosomal RNA is filed under the name Bacidina californica. RNAcentral describes it as "SSU rRNA". It matches the Rfam family "Bacterial small subunit ribosomal RNA", at positions 319 to 973 of the family's 1533-position model. Lineage: Eukaryota; Fungi; Ascomycota; Lecanoromycetes; Lecanorales; Ramalinaceae. The record is from RNAcentral.